Molecule: ribosomal RNA, 503 nt
Filed under: uncultured bacterium
Lineage: Bacteria
Description: partial 16S ribosomal RNA
Rfam family: Bacterial small subunit ribosomal RNA
Source: RNAcentral
GAUGAACGCUAGCGGCAGGCUUAAUACAUGCAAGUCGAGGGGCAGCAGUUUUGUAGCAAUACAGAAGCUGGCGACCGGCAAACGGGUGCGGCACACGUACGCAACCUACCUUUAACUGGAAGAUAGACCACCGAAAGGUGGAUUAAUACUCCAUAACAAAUUGAAGAUGCAUCUCUUUGAUAUUAACGCUCCGGCGGUUAAACAUGGGCGUUCGUCUGAUUAGGUAGUUGGCGGGGUAACCGCCCACCAAGCCUUCGAUCAGUAGAUGCUGUGAGGGCAUGAUCAGCCACACGGGCACUGAGACACGGGCCCGACUCCUACGGGAGGCAGCAGUAAGGAAUAUUGGUCAAUGGACGCAAGUCUGAACCAGCCAUGCCGCGUGGAGGAUGAAGGCCCUCUGGGUUGUAAACUUCUUUUCUUUGGGACGAAACCCCUGUUUCUACGGGGACUGACGGUACCAGAGGAAUAAGCACCGGCUAACUCCGUGCCAGCCGCCGCGGUAA